UUUCUACGUUUUUGACGCUAGGCAGUAACAUAGCCAAAAACACUUUCAUACAAUGUUUAUUACAAAAAUAUUACUGAUAUAUUACAUUGCUAACAAAUAAUGUUAUAUCUAUUCAUUUAGACGGUUGAAAAAUUUAUUUAAUAAGUAAGUAAGUAAAUAAGUAAAUAGAUAUUUUAUUAAUGUGUCAUAUGUAAACAUACAAGCAAUGAACAAACAAGACAUGGAUAAACAAUAGUAUACACCCGGCCCAAUGGGCCUAUAAGACACAAAUAACAUGAAGACAAUAAAUCUGAAAACACGUGAACAACAUAAAAGGUAUGUUUAGAUAAAAAAAGAAGAAGAAAGAUCUUACUUAUCUUCUAGCUCAAAAGAAAUCUCUUAUUUUAAAUAUGUCUCUUUCAUCGCUCGUAAGUGUUCACUUAGUGAAAUAUAUUUCAAUCUUACAUGCAAAACAAACAAAUAUCCUCAAUAUAAACGUGACGAUUAUCCAAUGAAAAUCUGAGUUACAAACGUACAGUUACAGAAUAAUUAACAUUAAUCUAUUGUAGGUCAAUAUGAAUAUGAAGAUCAUUGCUGCUUUUCUAAUUGUCAACCUAUUUCUAAGCCUUAAUGCUCCAGCGGACGCCCAGGGAGCAUACGGCGGAUUGGGGACUUUGCUCGGAUUAGGCGCUGGUUUGGCUGUAGGGUCUUACAUCGGUAGAGGAUUUCGUAGGGGGUACCCUGGGUAUGGCUACCGAGGGUAUGGCUACGGCUAUCCAAGAUAUGGCUACGGACGUCGGCCAUUCGGACUUUUUGGCCGCGGCUUUUAUUGAUAGACCUACAAACAUUUAGGUACACAGCAUUUUGUAUUUAGAGGUAUUAGAAAACAAAUCUUUCAUUCAAUAAACUGAUUUAUAAACAA
Ruditapes philippinarum (Manila clam) is the source of this 901-nucleotide long non-coding RNA. RefSeq lists it as uncharacterized. The transcript is spliced from 2 exons. Lineage: Eukaryota; Metazoa; Mollusca; Bivalvia; Venerida; Veneridae. The record is from RefSeq and is a predicted model, not a curated record.